CCUGCCUCAGCCUCCCAAGUAGCUGGGACUACAGCAACUGUGGAAGACCAGAUUCUCAAGAAGGAGAUGCUGAGAUAGAGUUUGGGAGGCAAAAUGUUUAUUAAGGACCCAUACCUGUGAAAGGAAGGAAGAAAAAGCAGGACUGGGCAGAGGGAAAGUCAACCUGUGCUGCAGGCUCGACCAAGCUCAGCCGAUCAGCAGGUCACUCUAGAAUGAGAAGUGCUCAUCAGGGCUUUCCAGCAUCAAGUUUAAAUGGCUGGACCUUUAUACCUCUGCCUUGCUCAGUCACCAAAUGUGGGCUACCCCAGGAAGGGCAUGACCUCAGGUGAGGCAGCCCUGCAGCUGAAGCAGGCUCUGAAGGAACUGAAAGCUGGUAUUGUCUGCUGCCCUCUCUCUGCAGCUAGGCAGCAUGUCCUUUCUUGAAGGCGAUCUGGGCAACACAUCACCAUGUGUCUCACAAUGACAUACAGACAUGAAGGGACAUAAAUCCUAAGUAUACAAUUUGGUGAACUCACCCAGCUCAAAAAGUAGAAAUGAUCUGCAUCACAGAACCCCCAUUUAUUCCUCUUCUCAGUCAAUCUCUCUUCCCAAGGUAACCACUAUCCUUCUUCUAUCACCAUAGACUCAUUUACCUGCUUUUUAAAUUUUUAACUGUGGUCAAAUACACAUAAUAUAAAACUUA
Long non-coding RNA from Homo sapiens (human), 682 nucleotides. RefSeq lists it as uncharacterized. Lineage: Eukaryota; Metazoa; Chordata; Mammalia; Primates; Hominidae. The transcript is spliced from 2 exons. The record is from RefSeq and is a predicted model, not a curated record.